UACGAAGGGGGCUAGCGUUGUUCGGAAUUACUGGGCAUAAAGGGUGCGUAGGCGGUUUGUUAAGUCACUGGUGAAAGUUUUCGGCCCAACCGGAAAAUUGCCUGUGAUACUGGCGAACUUGAGUGCGCGAGGGGUGGGGGGAACGAGCAGUGUAGCGGUGAAAUGCGUAGAUAUUGCUCGGAAGGCCGGAGCCGAAGGGGCCCCACUGGUACGUAACUGACGCUGAGGCACGAAAGCGUGGGGAGCAAACAGG
This 253-nucleotide ribosomal RNA is filed under the name uncultured bacterium. Its description in RNAcentral is "partial 16S ribosomal RNA". It matches the Rfam family "Bacterial small subunit ribosomal RNA", at positions 524 to 776 of the family's 1533-position model. The record is from RNAcentral.